Molecule: long non-coding RNA, 1462 nt
Organism: Phycodurus eques (leafy seadragon)
Lineage: Eukaryota; Metazoa; Chordata; Actinopteri; Syngnathiformes; Syngnathidae
Exons: 3
Source: RefSeq, a predicted model, not a curated record
GUAGCAGCAGUCACAUGUCACAUAUAAUUCACAUGCGGCAGGCGGUAGUUUGCGGUGCACACACACAUUGAAAAACACACGCGCGCAAAAUCAUGCUUCCCCUUUUGGGCUGACGCAGCAAUGGAGGGAAGAGGCAGAAGGGAAUCAAAUGUUACCAUUCCUCCUCGUCAUAACCACGCUACGCAGGACAACUCCAAAGAGUGACAAACUGAAAUGGAAUUGAAAAUCACCUACUGGCAACUGACAUCCUAGAUAAGAUCAAAAAAUUACAACCCAACCUGAUGAUCUGCAAGAUACCCGAACAUUCAAAGGCAGGACUUCAGAGCCCAAGACCACCGCCCGGCCUCUCCUCCUCUGGGCUGCAGUGAUGCUGGGACUCUGGGAAUUGGAAGUCAAUGAAACCAUGCCUAAUUUAGUCUUCACUCCUCCUUGAGCUGCCACGAAUCAAGAGUGAGACUCUUUCCCUUUUAGGGCUCUCUGGACACUGCGAUCGGCGAGUGGCACUCCUGCAUUCCGAUCUACGCCAAGGAGUGUUGGAUGAGAAAGAAAGAGGCGACGGUCACAACUGUGAUUAUUUUCUAGCUGUUAAGUGUGUCAAUAUUCUAACAAAGUACCUAUCUAUAAACCUUUCAGUAUCAGUUUACAACCAUAUUAUCAACCCAUUCAAGGAUUUUUCCAAAAAGACUAGCAUUUGGCAGUCAGGCGUCCCAGUAAUUAGGUUUGAUGAAUAAUCAUGGACUCUAUACUUAAAGAACCCGUUCAAACAGGCUCCCACACCAUGUCAUCGUUAAUAGGCAGAGUACAAAUGAAACUAGAGGCUGUGGGUUGGAGUCUUUUUUUCCCCUCUCCAUCCUGAUGUAACUAAAAUGUAUUAUUUAUAUUACAAUGUAUUAUUUAUAUUACAAUAUUAUUCUAAAUGACAAAACGGUAAAUUUAGACAUUUUUGUUUCAAUGUUAGACAUUUUUACAUUAUUUGUCAACACAGCACAAGAACUUUGAAAGUAUGUAACAAAACUGUCUGUCAGUCUUAUCCUCAAUUCAUUUGAGGCGCGUAUUGCUGUAAUUGAACAGCCAGUGUAAUAAUCACAUGAAAGCAAUUUAAAUUGAUAAUCCCAUGAAUCCAUCCAAAGUGCCUGUUUUAGGUUACAAUGAGGAGAUGAGCGCAAAAUACCAGAUUAUGAUGAGAAGUGUUCUUGUCUCAUCAGGGAAAAUAAUUCAAUUAAACCUCUCUCGCAGGAACAUGACUGUUUUACAGAAACAUAUGUAUAAUCUUUAACUGGAAGGCAAAUUCUUCAGACAAUUGAUAGGUGACUAUAAAUGAUCAUUUAAGGCAAACAAACCAUGUAAUUACUGGCAUGCAAUCAGCAAAGUAAAGUGACAACAACAUAAUUUAUGCAACUUUGUACCAUUUACUUUCAAUCAGAUAUGGCAGAUAAGGUUGUUGCAUUUAGCCUUCAAUUAU